This 296-nucleotide long non-coding RNA is filed under the name Gossypium barbadense (sea-island cotton). RNAcentral describes it as "long non-coding RNA (GBAR_LNC010538)". The record is from RNAcentral. Lineage: Eukaryota; Viridiplantae; Streptophyta; Magnoliopsida; Malvales; Malvaceae.
GAAAUUGUUUUGGAAUAUUAAUGAGGUCUUAAAUAGAAAUUUGACCAAUUUUAAGUUCAUGGACAAAAUUAGGACAUGGAAGGAAUUUUUGGAAAGUUUAGUAGUAAGGGUAUUUUGGUCAUUUAGUUAUUAAAAUGAAUUAAAAACAAAAUUAAAAGCCAAUUUUUGUCCAUCUUCUUCAUUAGGACGAAAUUUCAAGGGUUCUCCAUAGCUGGGGUUUGUUUCAAGCUUCCAAGCUCCAUAGUAAGUGAUUCCAAGCCCCGUUUUUAAUGAUUUUUACGUUUUUGAGAUCCCGG